AGUGAACGUUGGCGGCGUGGAUUAGGCAUGCGAGUCGAGCGAGAGCCGUAGCAAUACGGGGACAGCGGCGAAAGGGACAGUAAUAUGUAGGUACCUACCCUCGGGUCCGGGAUAGCUGCGGGAAACUGCAGGUAAUACCGGAUGACAUCUCCGGAUCAAAGGUGUGAUUCCGCCCGGGGAGGGGCCUGCGUCCUAUUAGCUUGUUGGUGGGGUAACGGCCUACCAAGGCGACGAUGGGUAGCGGGUGUGAGAGCAUGACCCGCGUCAUUGGGACUGAGACACUGCCCAGACACCUACGGGUGGCUGCAGUCGAGAAUCUUCGGCAAUGGGGGCAACCCUGACCGAGCGACGCCGCGUGCGGGAUGAAGGCCUUCGGGUUGUAAACCGCUGUCGUAGAGGAGGAAAUGCAGGGGGGUUCUCCCCUCUGUUUGACCUAUUCUAGGAGGAAGGACGGGCUAAGUUCGUGCCAGCCGCCGCGGUAA
This 482-nucleotide ribosomal RNA is filed under the name uncultured bacterium. RNAcentral describes it as "partial 16S ribosomal RNA". It matches the Rfam family "Bacterial small subunit ribosomal RNA", at positions 28 to 523 of the family's 1533-position model. The record is from RNAcentral.